GGCUCCAUAGUGUAGUGGUUAGCAUAUCUGUUUUACAUGCAGAAGGUCCUGGGUUCGCGUUCCAGGUAGAGCCA
This 74-nucleotide transfer RNA is filed under the name Pteropus alecto (black flying fox). It matches the Rfam family "tRNA". From Rfam's summary of the family: Transfer RNA (tRNA) molecules are approximately 80 nucleotides in length. Their secondary structure includes four short double-helical elements and three loops (D, anti-codon, and T loops). Lineage: Eukaryota; Metazoa; Chordata; Mammalia; Chiroptera; Pteropodidae. The record is from Rfam by way of RNAcentral.